This is a long non-coding RNA of Mesocricetus auratus (golden hamster), 1409 nucleotides long. RefSeq lists it as uncharacterized. The record is from RefSeq and is a predicted model, not a curated record. NCBI's taxonomy places the organism in Eukaryota, Metazoa, Chordata, Mammalia, Rodentia, Cricetidae. The transcript has 2 exons.
UGCACAGGCUCCAAGUUACAAUAGUCAGUAUAACUUAGCCAGGUCUACUGUAAAAUCCCAUCAAGCUCCCUGCUGAGAUGAGGGUCUUAUUCCUCAGUGCACAGGGCCUCUCUGGGUUGGAAGUCAGUGCUGAGGAAGGUUAGGGCGCUCCGUAUUUUUAAAAUAGUUACGGAGAAAGAACUUCGUGGAAUUGCUAGGAACUACAGCCAGCUCCCAGUAGACAGGGAAUUUUCCACAAUCUCUUUGCCAGCAAGGGAGGGUGAGCUCAGGUUACAAAGCCAAGUGAGAAGGGCCUGCAGAAGAGUGGAAGCUGAGCCCAAAGCCCUGUGUGGGCAAGCGCUUACAAUGAGGACCAGCUUUUGUGCUCCUAAAAGCCUAGUGGAAGCAGCCAAGUGUCUUGGACUAGAUCUGAUUGCUUUUGAAAAAGUUCACCAGCUUGGGACUCUUGCCAGAGAAGUUGUGUUUAGUUGGAGUGCCCAGGGUGAGAGAAUGGGGACAAUGACAGUGCCUCGAGUGCCCGGCCUUCUGCUCAGCCUCUGGUCACAGACAGUGCCCCAGCGCCAUGCCUUCUGCUCAGAACACUGGUCAUAGAGCUUCCUUUACUUGAGCCAGUAGCUCAUGGCCCAAGCAAAAGCUGGAGAACAAAUCGAAGACGGAGACUUGCAAAAGCACCCUGUGUUGAGUGUGUAUGCUUGAUCUUCAGAACCUCCCCAAAUACUGUUCAGCUUGAAUUAGAGAGAAACCAACCAUCUGAAGGGGAAAAACAAACAAACAAACAAAAAAGGAAUGGACAGCCAGGCAGCUCACAUCGGAUCCACCUGGGAUGCAGAGGCACGAGUCUACGUCUGGGGGUUGAAUACUGGCGAACCCAGAAGGUCAACUGUUUCUUCCUUUGCAGUCCCUUUGCUCCCUUCAACUGAGCCAACUGUUCUCUGUCAGCAAUGCUGGGCCUGGAAGGAUGGGGACAGCCUGGAGUCUGGCCCAAGCCGCAAGCUUUCAAGGCCUUAGUCUUCAAUAAACAGCUACAAUGCUAAAUGUCUGGAUUCAGCUUUUUUCUGCUGGGUAGCCUGUGGUUGCCAUGGAUAUGGCUUUGUCUUUGGAGGCCCACAAGCAAGGAGGAGUUAAGUAAAUCCUAAUGGGUCAACAUUUCCAUAAAACUAGAAAGAAAAAAAAAAGAGAAAAAGGGCACACUUUCUUAAAAAACUCCAACAAAAUCAUUAAACAGUUCCAAAUUAAUGACCAAAAUACCAGCAAAAUCUUCAGGUUUUCCUGGCCAGAACUUAAACAAGUGUGCAGAAUUGGAAAGACAAAGUUCUACUAACAGCCCCGAUGGCGGAAGUGAAAAUGAUGGUGUCCCGCCCCCUUGAGUGUUUUGGACAAUAAAAGGUUCCCUUUCUUCUUUCUUGCCA